RNAcentral lists this transfer RNA (106 nucleotides) under Candidatus Woesearchaeota archaeon. RNAcentral describes it as "tRNA-Pro". Lineage: Archaea; Nanobdellati; Candidatus Woesearchaeota. The record is from RNAcentral.
GGGGCUGUGGGGUAGCUUGGCUCAUCCUUUCUGGUUUGGGACCAGACGACCCCGGUUCAAAGAGUCAGACUGUAUUCAGGUUUGUUUGAAAAUCCGGGCAGCCCCA